This 163-nucleotide ribosomal RNA is filed under the name Malus halliana. Its description in RNAcentral is "5.8S ribosomal RNA". It matches the Rfam family "5.8S ribosomal RNA". Rfam says of the family: 5.8S ribosomal RNA (5.8S rRNA) is a component of the large subunit of the eukaryotic ribosome. It is transcribed by RNA polymerase I as part of the 45S precursor that also contains 18S and 28S rRNA. RNAcentral also lists the same sequence under 1 other name. Lineage: Eukaryota; Viridiplantae; Streptophyta; Magnoliopsida; Rosales; Rosaceae. The record is from RNAcentral.
CAAAACGACUCUCGGCAACGGAUAUCUCGGCUCUCGCAUCGAUGAAGAACGUAGCGAAAUGCGAUACUUGGUGUGAAUUGCAGAAUCCCGUGAACCAUCGAGUCUUUGAACGCAAGUUGCGCCCGAAGCCAUCCGGCCGAGGGCACGCCUGCCUGGGCGUCAC